This 77-nucleotide transfer RNA is filed under the name Pseudomonas aeruginosa. Its description in RNAcentral is "tRNA-Met". It matches the Rfam family "tRNA". From Rfam's summary of the family: Transfer RNA (tRNA) molecules are approximately 80 nucleotides in length. The record is from RNAcentral. Lineage: Bacteria; Pseudomonadati; Pseudomonadota; Gammaproteobacteria; Pseudomonadales; Pseudomonadaceae.
CGCGGGAUGGAGCAGUCUGGUAGCUCGUCGGGUUCAUAACCCGAAGGUCGUUGGUUCAAAUCCAGCUCCCGCAACCA